GGUUUACAGAGAUGGAUGGAUUGACGCUACCAAACUAAACAUUGAUGGGUUGUGAAAGGGAUGAAGCAUGUUUGGGAACAGAGUUAUUGAUUUGUUGCAGCCGUCGAGAUGAAAGAACAGAAGGAAUCUACAGGGACAGGGUUAAUUCUUUCAGCAUAACACAAGGUCUUGGUAGAAAAAUGGUAACAAGGGGAGCAACUAUGGGAUUACAAAGCUGUCAUCAGGCAACAAAUCACGAUCGCAAUUUUGACCUUGAGCCAUAAUCCACACCCUGGAUAGCCACCCCAGGAGGAUGAAAACAAGAAUUGCAAAC
RNAcentral lists this unclassified non-coding RNA (313 nucleotides) under Hevea brasiliensis (rubber tree). The record is from RNAcentral. Lineage: Eukaryota; Viridiplantae; Streptophyta; Magnoliopsida; Malpighiales; Euphorbiaceae.